AUUCUUAUAGUUUAGUUUAAAAUAUAAUAUUGAAAAUAUUAAGAUAUUUCUUUAAGAGUA
Molecule: transfer RNA, 60 nt
Filed under: Alectorobius rudis
Lineage: Eukaryota; Metazoa; Arthropoda; Arachnida; Ixodida; Argasidae
Description: tRNA-Phe
Source: RNAcentral